This 426-nucleotide long non-coding RNA is filed under the name Homo sapiens (human). Its description in RNAcentral is "non-protein coding LMLN-AS1:3". The record is from RNAcentral. Lineage: Eukaryota; Metazoa; Chordata; Mammalia; Primates; Hominidae.
UGGGAAGAUUACAAACCCUGAAAAAUGAAGACUUGGUGGCUUGCAGUUCCUUCUCCUUCUCCAAGAUGAGGUGGUUGGGUUGCUGAAGAAGGUGGUUGGUUUGCUGAUGAAGGUGGUUGGGUUGCAGAUGAAGGUGUUGAGUUGCUGAUGAAAGUGGUUGGGUUGCAGAUGAAAGUGGUUGGUUUGCUGAUGAGGUGGUUGGGUUGCUGAUGAAGGUGGCUGGGUUGCUGAUGAGGUGGUUGGGUUGCUGACGAGGUGGUUGGGUUGCUGAUGAAGGUGGUUGGGUUGCUGAUGAAGGUGGUUGGGUUGCUGAUGAGGACAGGCUGCUGUGAAGUUCUGCUUCAAGGUCUGAUGGUCGUCAAUUCUUCCAAGCCAAAGCCAGGAAUGCCACUUCUACCAUCUGCAUAGGUUGGCACUCACUCAAAC